This 465-nucleotide ribosomal RNA is filed under the name Vreelandella stevensii. RNAcentral describes it as "partial 16S ribosomal RNA". It matches the Rfam family "Bacterial small subunit ribosomal RNA", at positions 338 to 795 of the family's 1533-position model. The record is from RNAcentral. Lineage: Bacteria; Pseudomonadati; Pseudomonadota; Gammaproteobacteria; Oceanospirillales; Halomonadaceae.
CCUACGGGAGGCAGCAGUGGGGAAUAUUGGACAUUGGGGGGAACCCUGAUCCAGCCAUGCCGCGUGUGUGAAGAAGGCCCUCGGGUUGUAAAGCACUUUCAGUGAGGAAGAACGCCUGGUGGUUAAUACCCAUCAGGAAAGACAUCACUCACAGAAGAAGCACCGGCUAACUCCGUGCCAGCAGCCGCGGUAAUACGGAGGGUGCGAGCGUUAAUCGGAAUUACUGGGCGUAAAGCGCGCGUAGGUGGCUUGAUAAGCCGGUUGUGAAAGCCCCGGGCUCAACCUGGGAACGGCAUCCGGAACUGUCAAGCUAGAGUGCAGGAGAGGAAGGUAGAAUUCCCGGUGUAGCGGUGAAAUGCGUAGAGAUCGGGAGGAAUACCAGUGGCGAAGGCGGCCUUCUGGACUGACACUGACACUGAGGUGCGAAAGCGUGGGUAGCAAACAGGAUUAGAUACCCUUGUAGUC